Long non-coding RNA from Passer domesticus (house sparrow), 502 nucleotides. RefSeq lists it as uncharacterized. NCBI's taxonomy places the organism in Eukaryota, Metazoa, Chordata, Aves, Passeriformes, Passeridae. The record is from RefSeq and is a predicted model, not a curated record. The transcript is spliced from 2 exons.
AAAGUAUUUAUAUGCUGAUGACUCAACUUUUGCAGCCGUGUCUGCAGCAAGACCAGGAAAUAUACUGUUGAACCCUCUUAUGACAACAACUUUGAUGUGAAGGGCCAGAAUAGCUCAUUCUGCCUGCUGUGAUUCAGAAAGCCGGAGCUGUAAUCCUGGAUCUCUGCACAAUGCACUCACAAGAGCUUCCGAGCUCAUCAAAGGACAUCAGAAAUACAAGGGUCCUGCAGGACACAUGCAUUUCUGGGAUUUGCAAGUUCAAAACUAAUACAGCACAGCAGAAGAGGCCUUUUAAUCCUGCUUAUUAGCAGAAGGGAGUUUCUGACAUAACCCAAAGGCUCUGGCAGACAGACACCACACAGCUGAAGAACAGACACUGCAACACAAUGGAUUCCAAGCACUGAUACCUCUGGCAAAUGAGCUCCACUGGAGAAGCAGCAUUCUUAUUUUCAGGAAAGAAGCCACCUUACUCAGACUAAUACUUACCCUUCUGAAGACAUGU